CCUCCUCCCUGCAGCUGGCUGAUGUAGCUCACUGAUGUGUGUGUAGAUAGGGAGCUGUGAGGAGAACAAGAGGUCAGAACACAUCCAGACUCCUUAAGGGAAGACCUCUUUGUGUUUUGGAAACUUUUCAAAGCCAGGGACUUGUCCAGCCCAACCUUCUCACUGCUCCUAGCUCCUGAGGCUCAGGGCCCUUGGCUUCUGUCCGCUCUGCUCAGGGCCCUCUAGCGUUGCCACUCCUCAGCCAUGCUCCUGCUGCUCGUGCCAGUGCUCGAGGUGAUUUUUACCCUGGGAGGAACCAGAGCCCAGUCUGUGACCCAGCUUGACAGCCAAGUCUCUGUCUCUGAAGGAGUCCCUGUGCUGCUGAGGUGCAACUACUCAUCGUCUGUUUCACCAUAUCUCUUCUGGUAUGUGCAAUACCCCAACCAAGGACUCCAGCUUCUCCUGAAGUACAUAUCAGGGACCACCCUGGUUAAAGGCAUCAACGGUUUCGAGGCUGAAUUUAAAAAGAGUGAAACCUCCUUCCACCUGACGAAAGCCUCAGCCCAUGUGAGCGACGCGGCUGAGUACUUCUGUGCUGUGAAUGACACAGUGCCUGAGACUGCAGGGCAGCUGAACACAAACCUCCUGAGAUACUGAGACUUUCUGUGACUCAAGAAUUUGAAGUCUGCCUUGUAUUAUUAAAUAGCAAUUCCGAGUUUCUGAUGCUUAUUGAUGUAUGCUGUAUCUUUUUCAUCUAUUUAUUUUUAAACUAACUAUGACUUUAAAUUUAAAGUGUGUUUCCUUUAAGUAGCUUUAUA
This is a non-coding RNA of Cercocebus atys (sooty mangabey), 797 nucleotides long. The record is from the annotation of a RefSeq genome assembly. NCBI's taxonomy places the organism in Eukaryota, Metazoa, Chordata, Mammalia, Primates, Cercopithecidae.